GUGAAAUUUAGGGUUUCAUAUCCUUAUUGUUUUCAGAUAAAAUGCCUCGAUAUGAUGAUCGUUAUGGUGGUACUCGGCUCUACGUUGGGCGCCUUUCUUCACGGACGAGGUCCCGUGAUCUUGAUGACCUGUUCAGUCGUUAUGGAAGAGUACGCGAUGUGGAUAUGAAGCGAGACUAUGCAUUUGUUGUAUGUAUUUCCCUCCCUAUACUUCUUUCAUUUUUAUUCAAGCUAUAUUUGGGAGAAAAAAAUGCUAUAUGUUGGCAUCCUUUUUCUGUACUUACUGGUGCAUGUUAAUUUUGCAAGCG
Molecule: unclassified non-coding RNA, 307 nt
Filed under: Hevea brasiliensis (rubber tree)
Lineage: Eukaryota; Viridiplantae; Streptophyta; Magnoliopsida; Malpighiales; Euphorbiaceae
Source: RNAcentral